RNAcentral lists this ribosomal RNA (394 nucleotides) under Acrossocheilus paradoxus (Taiwan torrent carp). RNAcentral's name for it is "partial 12S ribosomal RNA". Lineage: Eukaryota; Metazoa; Chordata; Actinopteri; Cypriniformes; Cyprinidae. The record is from RNAcentral.
AAAAGGCAUGGUCCCGACCUUACUAUCAGCUGUAACACAAUUUACACAUGCAAGUCUCCGCCACCCAGGUGAGUAUGCCCUCAGUCCCCCCGCCCGGAGACGAGGAGCGGGCAUCAGGCACAAUCGUUAGCCCAAGACGCCUAGCCAAGCCACACACCCCAAGGGAAUUCAGCAGUGAUUAACAUUAAGCCAUAAGUGAAAACUUGACUCAGUUAGUGUUAAUAGGGCCGGUAAAACUCGUGCCAGCUACCGCGGUUAGACGAGAGGCCCUAGUUGAUAUUACAACGGCGUAAAGGGUGGUUAAGGACAAACAAAUUUUUAAAGCCAAAGGCCCCUUGGCCGUCAUACGCUCCUGGAAGCCCGAAGCCCAAUACACGAAAGUAGCUUUAAUAAA